Molecule: ribosomal RNA, 157 nt
Filed under: Leucocytherella sinensis
Lineage: Eukaryota; Metazoa; Arthropoda; Ostracoda; Podocopida; Limnocytheridae
Description: partial small subunit ribosomal RNA
Source: RNAcentral
GCUCGUAGUUGGAUCUCAGUCUCGGUCCGACGGUCCAUCUCACGAUGGUACUGUUCGAAUCGGACAUUUGGCCGCCUUUCUCAGUAUGCUCUUGACUGAGUGUAUUGGGAGAGUGGCACGUUUACUUUGAAAAAAUUAGAGUGCUCAAAGCAGGCAA